AUGGCCAAGGAGAGAACACAGUGUGGUCGCACACAGCAGGAACAAAAGAGUGAUGUAAGGAGAGGCUGGCAUGGAAAGGCACUGAGCAAGGGGGCUGAAAUGAUGACAUUCACAUGUUCUAAAGCUCAUUCUGGCUGUAGUGUGGAGGACGGAUUGGAAGGAAGCCAGGAUGAUGUUGGGAGACGACUAAGAAGCAGUUUUAAUAGCCUGACAGCUUCCCUUCCAACCUGUCACAAGCCUAGCGAAGAAAAUAGCUGUGCUGGACGCCCCGCUGCCAACACCAAGAUCGGCCCCCGCCGCAUACACACAGUCCAAGUCCGGGGAGGCAAUAAGAAAUACCGUGCCUUGAGGCUAGACGUGGGGAACUUCUCCUGGGGCUCUGAGUGUUGUACGCGCAAAACGAGGAUUAUUGACGUUGUCUACAAUGCAUCCAACAACGAACUGGUCCGCACCAAGACCCUGGUGAAGAACUGUAUUGUGUUCAUUGACAGCACACCUUACCGACAGUGGUACGAGUCCCACUGUGCACUGCCCCUGGGCCGCAAGAAGGGGGCCAAGCUGACGCCUGAGGAGGAAGAGAUUUUAAACAAAAAACGAUCAAAGAAAAUUCAGAAGAAGUAUGAUGAAAGGAAAAAGAAUGCCAAAAUCAGCAGUUUUCUGGAGGAGCAAUUCCAGCAGGGCAAGCUUCUUGCAUGCAUCGCUUCACGACCAGGCCAGUGUGGCCGAGCAGAUGGCUACAUCCUAGAGGGCAAGGAGCUAGAGUUCUAUCUGAGGAAAAUCAAAGCCCGGAAAGGCAAAUAAAUCUUCCUCCCUCCUUCGGUCAUGUAAUAAAGGUGUUUAUUGU
Molecule: RNA transcript, 844 nt
Organism: Enhydra lutris kenyoni (northern sea otter)
Lineage: Eukaryota; Metazoa; Chordata; Mammalia; Carnivora; Mustelidae
Gene name: 40S ribosomal protein S8 pseudogene
Exons: 2
Source: RefSeq, a predicted model, not a curated record